CCAGCACCGAGUCCACCAGCUCCGCACCCUCCGUGUAGUGGCCCUUGGCCCAGUUGUUCCCGGCACCCGUCUGUCCUGCAAAGCAGCAAGAUCCAAAGAGGAUAUCAGUGACCUGCUUUCUCCAAUCAAUAUUUUUUUCAGUGAAAGAGACUAGAGCAAAGGAACAGGAACCAGGCUGUGACAGGUAUCAUCAGGACAGAACCCAGCACCACCUGCCCAGGGAUUGUGGCCAGAUCCUCCCACAUCAAUCAUUAAUCAAGAAAAUGACCCACUGGCAGGGUGGUGGUCCAUGCCUCUAAUCUCCGCACUCGAAAGACAACAGUAGGCAUGUUUCUGUGAGUUCGAGGCCAGCUUGGCCUACAGACAGAAACCCACCAUGGAGGUCAGCAUGUAUAAUCCUGGCACCCAAGAGUUCGAGGCAGAAGGCUCAGUUCAAAGUCAUCCUCAGCUAAGGAGUUUGAAACCAGCCCUGGCGACAAGAGAAAAGAACCAAGCAUGGAAGCUUUGCAGGAGGCAAGAUUGCAGUGCUGCGGUAAAUCUCCAACCCAAAUAUGCCCUGGCAAUAAAAACACAAUUCAAUAUGAAUACAA
Molecule: long non-coding RNA, 590 nt
Organism: Mastomys coucha (southern multimammate mouse)
Lineage: Eukaryota; Metazoa; Chordata; Mammalia; Rodentia; Muridae
Exons: 4
Source: RefSeq, a predicted model, not a curated record